AUUGAACGCUGGCGGCAGGCCUAACACAUGCAAGUCGAACGGUAACAGAAAGCAGCUUGCUGCUUUGCUGACGAGUGGCGGACGGGUGAGUAAUGUCUGGGAAACUGCCUGAUGGAGGGGGAUAACUACUGGAAACGGUAGCUAAUACCGCAUAACGUCGCAAGACCAAAGAGGGGGACCUUCGGGCCUCUUGCCAUCGGAUGUGCCCAGAUGGGAUUAGCUGUAGGUGGGGUAAAGGCUCACCUAGGCGACGAUCCCUAGCUGGUCUGAGAGGAUGACCAGCCACACUGGAACUGAGACACGGUCCAGACUCCUACGGGAGGCAGCAGUGGGGAAUAUUGCACAAUGGGCGCAAGCCUGAUGCAGCCAUGCCGCGUGUAUGAAGAAGGCCUUCGGGUUGUAAAGUACUUUCAGCGGGGAGGAAGGGAGUAAAGUUAAUACCUUUGCUCAUUGACGUUACCCGCAGAAGAAGCACCGGCUAACUCCGUG
RNAcentral lists this ribosomal RNA (489 nucleotides) under uncultured bacterium. RNAcentral describes it as "partial 16S ribosomal RNA". It matches the Rfam family "Bacterial small subunit ribosomal RNA", at positions 30 to 507 of the family's 1533-position model. The record is from RNAcentral.